Molecule: unclassified non-coding RNA, 240 nt
Filed under: soil metagenome
Description: partial contains 5.8S ribosomal RNA, internal transcribed spacer 2, and large subunit ribosomal RNA
Source: RNAcentral
AACCUAGCACACCUGCGGUGUGUACCUGCGGAAGGAUCAUUAACAAGCUGUGGGAGAUCAAUUUGAUCUCACACCUGGCCAACCUUGUUAACCUUAAAUAUAUUGCUUUGGUGAGCCCUGGCGGCUUUAGGGUUUUUCUAACCCUAAUAUUUCCCAGACUGGUGCUCACCAAAGUCAAACUCUAAACUCUUGAUUGUUUCUGCUGUCUGAGCAUGCAAGUGCAAAAUUUAGUUAAAAAAA